This 466-nucleotide ribosomal RNA is filed under the name uncultured bacterium. RNAcentral's name for it is "partial 16S ribosomal RNA". It matches the Rfam family "Bacterial small subunit ribosomal RNA", at positions 28 to 507 of the family's 1533-position model. The record is from RNAcentral.
GAUGAACGCUGGCGGCGUGCUUAACACAUGCAAGUCGAACGGAAAGGCCCAAGCUUGCUUGGGUACUCGAGUGGCGAACGGGUGAGUAACACGUGGGUGAUCUGCCCUGCACUUCGGGAUAAGCCUGGGAAACUGGGUCUAAUACCGGAUAGGACCACAUUUUGGAUGGUGUGGUGGAAAGUUUUUCGGUGUGGGAUGAGCUCGCGGCCUAUCAGCUUGUUGGUGGGGUAAUGGCCUACCAAGGCGUCGACGGGUAGCCGGCCUGAGAGGGUGUACGGCCACAUUGGGACUGAGAUACGGCCCAGACUCCUACGGGAGGCAGCAGUGGGGAAUAUUGCACAAUGGGCGCAAGCCUGAUGCAGCGACGCCGCGUGGGGGAUGACGGCCUUCGGGUUGUAAACUCCUUUCGCUAGGCACGAAGCGUUAUGUGACGGUACCUGGAGAAGAAGCACCGGCUAACUACGUG